GUUCAGGCCAGAAAGGAACAUCUGUACUGAAAGGUUGAACUCGACACGGUUUAGAGUUUUACACUGGCCUGUUCUAAGCUGGUCAUCUUUGCUGAUCCAUGGGAGACAGUUGCCCUGCACCAGCCCACGGUCAGCCUCCUGGAGAGGUAGAAGUGGAUUCUCUCACCGCAGCACUCAGGUCAGCCGAACUAUUUUAAUUUGCAGAACAUUACACAUGCAUACAUAUAUUUAUAU
RNAcentral lists this long non-coding RNA (234 nucleotides) under Chinchilla lanigera (long-tailed chinchilla). RNAcentral describes it as "lncRNA (ENSCLAG00000028007.1)". Lineage: Eukaryota; Metazoa; Chordata; Mammalia; Rodentia; Chinchillidae. The record is from RNAcentral.